RNAcentral lists this ribosomal RNA (512 nucleotides) under Tinca tinca (tench). RNAcentral's name for it is "partial 16S ribosomal RNA". It matches the Rfam family "Bacterial large subunit ribosomal RNA", at positions 1854 to 2565 of the family's 2925-position model. The record is from RNAcentral. Lineage: Eukaryota; Metazoa; Chordata; Actinopteri; Cypriniformes; Tincidae.
CCAGCCUGCCCAGUGACUACGGGUUCAACGGCCGCGGUAUUUUGACCGUGCAAAGGUAGCGCAAUCACUUGUCUUUUAAAUAGAGACCUGUAUGAAUGGCUAAACGAGGGCUUAACUGUCUCCCCCUUCAAGUCAGUGAAAUUGAUCUAUCCGUGCAGAAGCGGGUAUAAAAAUACAAGACGAGAAGACCCUUUGGAGCUUAAGGUACAAAAUUCAACCACGUCAAGAAAUUCAAUAAAAAACAAAAACUUAGUGGAUUAUGAACUUUUACCUUCGGUUGGGGCGACCACGGAGGAAAAACAAGCCUCCGAGUGGAAUGGGUUAAAUACCUAAAACUAAGAGAAACAUCUCUAAGCCACAGAAAAUCUGACCAAAAAUGAUCCGGCUUAAUGCCGAUCAACGAACCAAGUUACCCUAGGGAUAACAGCGCAAUCCUCUCCCAGAGUCCAUAUCGACGAGGGGGUUUACGACCUCGAUGUUGGAUCAGGACAUCCUAAUGGUGCAGCCGCUAU